GAUGAACGCUGGCGGCGUGCCUAAUACAUGCAAGUCGAGCGAACGGACGAGAAGCUUGCUUCUCUGAUGUUAGCGGCGGACGGGUGAGUAACACGUGGAUAACCUACCUAUAAGACUGGGAUAACUUCGGGAAACCGGAGCUAAUACCGGAUGAUAUUUUGAACCGCAUGGUUCAAAAGUGAAAGACGGUCUUGCUGUCACUAAUAGAGGGAUCCGCGCUGCAUUAGCUAGUUGGUAAGGUAACGGCUUACCAAGGCAACGAUGCAUAGCCGACGGGAGAGGGUGAUCGGCCACACUGGAACUGAGACGCGGACCAGGCUCCUACGGGAGGCAGCAGUAGGGAAUCGUCCGCAAAGGGCGGAAGCCUGACGGAGCAACGCCGCGUGAGUGAUGAAGGUCUUCGGAUCGUAAAACUCUGUUAUUAGGGAAGAACAUAUGUGUAAGUAACUGUGCACAUCUUGACGGUACCUAAUCAGAAAGCCACGGCUAACUACGUG
RNAcentral lists this ribosomal RNA (497 nucleotides) under uncultured bacterium. RNAcentral's name for it is "partial 16S ribosomal RNA". It matches the Rfam family "Bacterial small subunit ribosomal RNA", at positions 28 to 507 of the family's 1533-position model. The record is from RNAcentral.